This 3851-nucleotide long non-coding RNA is filed under the name Sus scrofa (pig). Its description in RNAcentral is "lncRNA (ENSSSCG00025051691.1)". The record is from RNAcentral. Lineage: Eukaryota; Metazoa; Chordata; Mammalia; Artiodactyla; Suidae.
GGUGUGAACUGAUUACCACAAUAGGUUUAAUUAACAUCCAUCAUCUAUCUCAUAUGGAUACAAUAAAAAGAAGAGAAAGAAAAUGUUUUUGUGAUGAGAACUCUUAGGAUCCACUUUCUUAUCGACUUUCCUGUACAUCCUACAGGGGUUUUUGGUUUUAUGGGGGUAUAGUUGAUUUAUAAUAUUAUAUUAGUUUCAGGUGUGCAGCAUCCUAAUUCAAUAUUUUAUAGUUUGUACUCCAUUAAAAGUUAUUACAAAAUAAUGGCUAUAAUUCCCUGUGCUGUAUAAUAUAUCCUGCUGCUGAUCUAUUUUAUACAUAGUAGUUUGUAUCUCUUAGUCCUUACCUCCUAUCUUCUCUCUCUUGCCUUCCCUCUCCCCACUGGUAGCCACUAAUUUGUUUUCUAUAUAUGUCAGUCUGUUUCUGCUUUGCUAUAUACAUUCAUUUAUUUAUUUUUUUUUAGAGUCCACAUUUAAGCGACACCAUAUGGUAUUUGUCUUUCUCUGUCUGACUUAUUUCACGCAGUAUAAUAUUCUCUAGGUCCAUCCAUGUUGUUGCAAAUGGCAGAAUUUCACUCUUUUUAAUGGCUGAGUAAUAUUCCAUUGUACAGGUAUAAUGACAUCUUCUUUAUCCAUCUGUCUUUUGAUGGACAUUUAGGUGAUUUCCAUAGCUUGGAUAUUUUAAAUAUCACUGCUAUCGAUAGGUAUGUACGUAUUACCAUCUUAUUACAUGUUUUCCUGUUGUUUUUGUAGUUCUUUUCAUUUCUUGUUUUUGUUCCUUUUCUUGCACUUUGAUGAUUUUCUUUAGUAGUAUACUUGUGUUCAUUUUGGCUUUUUGUGCAUCUAUUGUAAUUUUUUAUUGUGUUUGCCUUUGGGGCUCAUAUAUAUUGAUCUAUAACAACGUGUUUUAAACUGGUAGCUCUUUAAGUUCAAACACAUUCUAAAAGAUCUACAUUUUUCACCCUUCUCCCCCACAUCUGGUCUUUUGAUGUCAUAUUUUACAUCUUCAUGUUCGUCUGUGAACUAUUUAUUAUAUUUAUAAUCGCUUUUUACAGUUUUUAGUCUUUUAAUCUUUGAAUUGGCUGAAGUGUUUGAUUCUCAGUUAUCACCAUAGAUUUGCCCUUCCAAGUGGGAUUGUUGCUUUCCUAUAAAUUCAUUCCUUUCCCACUUAGAGAAGAGACCUUUUCCCAUUUCUUUUAGGCUGGUGGCUACAUCUCUGAUCCAACCCCUAGCCUGGGAACCCCCAUAUGCUGAGGGUAUAGCCAUAAAAAAAAAACAAAACAAAAACCAUGAGGCCCCCCAAAAGGGGCAAGUGAUUUGGGGUGUAGAGUGGUAUUGUGGGGAGAGGAUGGGCCUCUUCCUCCCCAUCCUAGGAAGAGAGUCAUUCCUUUCAACCCAUCUAGUUAGAGAAAGAGUGACGAUAGGGAGGGCGAAGUCUCUGGAUGCCAAAGAGAGGCGACCCCACACCUCCUGGAUGCAUGCAGGGAAGACCAGAAGAUUCCACAAGAAAAGUCGAUGCGGCGUUUCUAGGCAAAUAGACUCCCGGGUAGCUUUCUAAAAAACUGCAGGUUCUGAGCACGAUGCAGAAGUAGCAGAGAGCCUUGGAGGCAGCAGGGCACACUGGCUGGAUAGAUCCCCGGAGUCAUUAGCAUCCUACCCUCAAACUCCCAGCAUCUUGUCAUUGAACUUCAACAUCAGGGGAUGACAUCUGGCUGGACCUGGGAUUUUUUUUUUUUUUUUUUUUUCCCCUUUCACUACACUCUGCAUGUUAAAGACUUAGGGUCAGAACGGAAGUUGCUUUACAGAAGGAUGAAGAUAAGUGGUAGAUAGAUAACUAGCUAGGUAGAUGACAGACAGACAUAGCUAUAGAUGUGUGUGUGUCUGUGUGUUUGUUCCACCGUGUUUGAGUGUUCACUAAAUGUGAAUAUAGUUACAUCAAGUCCCCUCAACAUGACACAGGCCUUUCUCAGGACACCGCUUGUAGAUCUGCCGAGCUAAUGACAUCCUCCAAUUACUGGAAGCAGAGAGGGCCAAGCAUCUUGCGGCAUCUUCGUGUCCUUCAUUCCUGGUGUCAAGGAGCUGAAACAGCAGGUGGAGGCAUUUGCUUUUUAAAAAUAAAAUCUUAUUUGGAGCUGCCAGAGGUCAAGGCCAUAAAUCAGAGGCCUAUAUCUCCUUUUUUUGUUCUUUUAUUCGCACUUGGCCAUCUGAAUAGGGUACGUUCAUUAAUGCCGGGGAAGAGGUUGCCUGGCUUUGUGGAUCUCCAAGGGCAACAAAAGCCAUUCAUUCCUGCAUCCCCGCCUUCAUUUGUCUGUUCCAUCGGUCGCUAUAGCUUGGCAAUUAAGACAAAGAUUUUGGAAUUUCAACCAGAUGGAGCUUGGAUUUGAUUUUGCCACUUAGUGGCUGUGCGUCUUUGAGACAGUUACGUAGCUUCACUGAGCCUCGACUUGCUCAUGUAUUGUGUGGGGCUCUUUUUAUCAGUCGCUAUAGCUUGGCAAUUAAGAGAAAGGAUUUUGGAAUUUUCAUCAAAUUGAACUUAAUUUGAUUUUUGCUGCUUGGUAGCUGUGCAUCUUUGGGACAGUUAUGCAGCGUCUCUGAGCCUCGAGUUGCUCACCUACAGCGUGGGGCUUACUGUAUUUAACUGUCAGGGUGGUUCUGACCAUGAAAUGAGUUAACAAAUAUAAAGCCUACUGCAUAGUGCCUGGUAAACAGGCAGUGCUCAAUAAAUGUUAGCUCUUAUUAUAAACUCAUGAAUUUAUUAAUUCCUCCUGUCAUCAAACACUUAUUGAGUUCCUAUUGACUGGCAGACCCUGAGCUGAGUAAACUCUGCUUCCUACCUUUUGCGACCUUACAGUCAGCUGAGGUCGACAGACACAUGGGUCAAUAAAUAGAAACUCUGACAGAUUUAAUGGCAGUGUGUAGGAAGUGGUAGGACCAGGAAAGGAUUGAAUGAUUCAUCCUCUCUGUGGGGAGAUGGGGAGAUGGCUGGGGAUGGCUAAAAAAUUCUGGCUUAGGAGUUCCCGCUGUGGCUCAGGGGGUUAAGAACCUGACAUGGUGUCUGUGAGGAUGCAGGUUCAAGCCCUGGCCUCGCGCAGUGGGUUAAGGAUCCAACAUGGCUGCCAGCUGUGGUGUAGGUUGCCGAGGCAGCUUGGAUCCUGUGUUGCUGUGUGGCUGUGGUGUAGAUCUCAGCGGUAGCUCCGAUUCGACCCCUAGGCUGGGAACGUCCACAGGCUGCAGGUGUGGCUAUAAAAAAAAAAGACAAAGAAAAAAAAGUCUGGCCUAAUUGUUUAGGGAAGGUAGUAUUGGGAUGAUCAAAUGUUUUAAGCAGGGAGUGAUACGGUUUUGAUUUCGCCUCUAAAACUUCCUCGGCAGCAUACGGAAGGAUGAAACACAGUCAAAGCAGAUGGGAUUGCAGCAAAGUAGAUAGAGGGACAGAUGUGAAACCAGGCCAGCUGUGAAAUGAGGAGGGUCUGCAGUUAGGAAGAAGGGGGAUGCAGAGGGGGGGACAAGUUGGGGGCUCUCCAAGGCUGGCCGUCUCAAAGACUGGUCCUCGGGGCAGCAGCCUCUCUAGCCCCUGGGAGCUUAUAAGAAAUGCAGACUCUGGAGUUCUCAUUGUGGCUCAUUGGGUGAAGAACACCCGCCCCGCCUGGUGUCUGUGAAGAUCUGGGUUCAAUCCCUGGCCUCACUCAGUGGGUUAAGGAUCCAGCGUUGCCACAAGCUGCAGUGUAGGUCACAGAUGAGGCUCAGAUCUGGUGUGGCUCUGGGAUGCAACCAGACCUCUAGCCUGGGAAGUUGCAUAUGCCACAGGUGUGGCCAUAAAAAAAAAAAAGGAAGGGAGGGAGGGAGGACAGAAGAAA